RNAcentral lists this ribosomal RNA (270 nucleotides) under uncultured bacterium. RNAcentral's name for it is "partial 16S ribosomal RNA". It matches the Rfam family "Bacterial small subunit ribosomal RNA", at positions 83 to 354 of the family's 1533-position model. The record is from RNAcentral.
CUACGUCGGCGACCGGCGCAUGGGUGCGUAACGCGUAUGCAACCUACCCAUUACAGGGGGAUAACACUGAGAAAUCGGUACUAAUACCCCAUAACAUCCAGGGAGGCAUCUUCUUGGGUUGAAAACUCCGGUGGUAAUGGAUGGGCAUGCGUUGUAUUAGUUAGUUGGUGGGGUAACGGCUCACCAAGACAACGAUACAUAGGGGGACUGAGAGGUUAACCCCCCACAUUGGUGCUGAGACACGGACCAAACUCCUACGGGAGGCAGCAG